Molecule: ribosomal RNA, 697 nt
Filed under: Bacillus subtilis
Lineage: Bacteria; Bacillati; Bacillota; Bacilli; Caryophanales; Bacillaceae
Description: bacterial SSU rRNA
Rfam family: Bacterial small subunit ribosomal RNA
Source: RNAcentral
GUGCCUAAUACAUGCAAGUCGAGCGGACAGAUGGGAGCUUGCUCCCUGAUGUUAGCGGCGGACGGGUGAGUAACACGUGGGUAACCUGCCUGUAAGACUGGGAUAACUCCGGGAAACCGGGGCUAAUACCGGAUGGUUGUUUGAACCGCAUGGUUCAAACAUAAAAGGUGGCUUCGGCUACCACUUACAGAUGGACCCGCGGCGCAUUAGCUAGUUGGUGAGGUAACGGCUCACCAAGGCGACGAUGCGUAGCCGACCUGAGAGGGUGAUCGGCCACACUGGGACUGAGACACGGCCCAGACUCCUACGGGAGGCAGCAGUAGGGAAUCUUCCGCAAUGGACGAAAGUCUGACGGAGCAACGCCGCGUGAGUGAUGAAGGUUUUCGGAUCGUAAAGCUCUGUUGUUAGGGAAGAACAAGUACCGUUCGAAUAGGGCGGUACCUUGACGGUACCUAACCAGAAAGCCACGGCUAACUACGUGCCAGCAGCCGCGGUAAUACGUAGGUGGCAAGCGUUGUCCGGAAUUAUUGGGCGUAAAGGGCUCGCAGGCGGUUUCUUAAGUCUGAUGUGAAAGCCCCCGGCUCAACCGGGGAGGGUCAUUGGAAACUGGGGAACUUGAGUGCAGAAGAGGAGAGUGGAAUUCCACGUGUAGCGGUGAAAUGCGUAGAGAUGUGGAGGAACACCAGUGGCGAAGGCG